ACUGGCGGCGUAUCAUCCAUUAGUGGUCGCUUUCGUGACAAUGGCGAUGUGGGAAAAAUGCGAAUUUCUAUGUCAUCAGUCCGUUGAUACUGUCACACGACAAACAUGCAUUAUACUACACAAAGAAAAAAUAGAAACAAUAAACAAAUAAAUGUUUGGUGGGGACCUCUCAGGUCCGGUUUGUUAUACCUUAAGGAGUUCUCCGAGACGACUACCCUGCAUGGUAUACGCCAUAUUGGCCUAUCCAACAGACAUUUUAUAGAAAUACUUAUUUGGGUUCUGUGUGAAAUAUUAGCAAUUUACGGAUCUUAUAAUGUGAUGCAUAACAGUUGGAUACGAUACAAUACAAAUCCUACUGUUGUAACAGUACAAAAAGAUUAUCGAUUUUGGUAUCUCCGGUUUCCGAGUACUACAUUCUGUUAUGUAGACCCCGUGAACACAGAAUUUGCUAAAGACUAUGUACAACGUAAAUGGAAAGUAAGUUCUGGUAAAAAAUUUGAUUACUAUAUGGAUUUUGUGAAAAACGUUGCAAACAUAACUUAUGAAAACUUAGACAAUAUAGCGCCUUUUGUCAAUAAUUCUGCAUUAAUUAAUGUUGACAUUAUCGACUUAGUUAUAAAGGUACAUGCUGAACCUCGUUUUAAUACUACAAUAUUCAGCACUGACUAUAAAAAUAUUACUUAUCAACCAGUAUUAACUGAAAUGGGCAUCUGUUACACUUUCAGUGGUAUAAUAACUGAUUAUUUAACACCCAAUAGCGAACUGCAAAACAUAAAUUCUAACUAUCCGAUACCAUUGUGCAACUUUCUCAACUCAUUAUGUUACGCAAAAGCAGAAAACCUACCUCGAAGUAUUUUGUAUUACGUUCAUUAUUCAAAAGAAGUACCAAAUAUAGUAGACAAAUAUUACGAGGUGCAAGAGGGUAUGGAACGAGAUACGACGUUCACGUUUUGGGAGAUGAUAUCAGCUCCUGAAUUGAGACGACUAAGUCCGUCGCAACGUCAAUGUCGUUUCAUGGACGAACCAAUGGAUAACACAAUACCCGUUUACAGUUAUAACGUAUGUAGGAUGAUAUGUAGAAGAAAUCUGGCUUUGAAGUUGUGCAAAUGUACUCCACAUUUUUAUCCAUACCCAGGUAAAAUGCAAGUUUGCAACAUCAAAGGUCUUUAUUGUUUGUCAAAUCAUAGCAAAAUGUUGAUGACAUUAGAAAAAAAUGAUGGGACGCCAAUCGAAUGCAAUUGUCAGAUGCAGUGCGAAGAAGUUAAACUGUUUUUGGACAGAGAUGCAAUAAGGACAUGGGCGUAUCCAGCUUCAAAGGACAACAUCAUUUACCGUUGGGCAAUUGACAAGUAUAGUAAGACACGAUUGCGCCGCGACGUCAUCUACAGCUUUGAAGAUUUAUUGGUGUCUCUAGGAGGUACGGCGUCAUUUUUUCUUGGUUGUAGUGUUCUGUCUUUCGUCGAGAUCGGAUACUACCUCACACUAAGGCUGUAUUGGUUUAUCAAUCAAAAACACAAAGAUUAUUAAAAGUAUAAUUAGGUAGGUACUGUCAUAAACUCAUAACCUCAUAUUUAGCAGAAAUGAACAACAAAUUCAUGGAGGAGCUAGGAACAAUGAAAUUAUUGAUUUUGCAAUGACCUGUUCUGAAACUACUUUUUAGAAAAGAUAGAAAAAACGCUUCAAUCUGCAACUUCAAUCUAUCUUUUUUGGUUUAGAUCCAAAAAUUUGCUGUAUCAGAUUUGUAUUUUUGGAAACAAUACAUUUAAAUUCAAAUUUUGACGAAAUAGAAUAUUCAAAUGACAAAUAAUAAUAUAACAAUUUUAAUUAUUUUGUUACAGUUUAAAAAUAUUUGUGAGAACUUAAAAUGUAUAUAUUAUUAUUAUUAUAAAUAAUUUUCCUAUAAUUAGUUUUUCCUUAAAAGAAAAACAUUACUGUAUUACUUGUCUUCUUAGUUCUUAGACAUUUCUCAAGAAUUAAACAGCAUCUAGCACACAAGCC
Molecule: RNA transcript, 1998 nt
Organism: Aphis gossypii (cotton aphid)
Lineage: Eukaryota; Metazoa; Arthropoda; Insecta; Hemiptera; Aphididae
Gene name: sodium channel protein Nach-like
Exons: 10
Source: RefSeq, a predicted model, not a curated record